GCAAGUUUUUGGGCAGUAGAGUGAAGGAUGUCAGACUGCUGUCAAUUAUACUGUUGACACCUUGAGCACAGUGGCAGAGGACUCUACACCAGUCAGGAGAAAAAGCAUGAAAUAGUUUACUACAAGAGGUGUUCUCCUCCCCAACAAAUGAAGGCCAAACAGACAUCAGACAAGCCAUCAUGGACUAAAGACUGUUGAAUGUUUCCCACACUCCUGAAGAGAAAGAAAACUACCCUACGGUGGAAACUCCAAGUUCUUCACAUUUAUGCCAUAUAAGAUCCUCACUGUUCUGACACCCAAGAUAGAGGGGAUCAUAAUAUCAGUAACAGGCUGUGUUUACUAAUCCUGUAAAUAUUUAUGCACAUUCUUAAAGUUAAGCAGAUACUUAAAUCUCUGCAGGAUCAGAGCUCUCGGGAAAGGAACUGAUCAGAUAUAAACCAUCAUAGCUCAAUUGCUGGCUCUAGGUUUUAAAUAAUCUGGUUGAUCAGAGUAGUCAGAUUCUUAUAAAUAACAGCAAUUGAUUUUAUUUCUGGUUUCAAAACAGGAGAAUACAAUCUAUUGAAUGGGUAACUGCAUAUUAACACCAGUAUUUAAAUAUAUACUGAUUCUUACAGCUCUAUUUUGAGAUCUUUAGGA
Long non-coding RNA from Mauremys reevesii (Reeves's turtle), 636 nucleotides. RefSeq lists it as uncharacterized. NCBI's taxonomy places the organism in Eukaryota, Metazoa, Chordata, Testudines, Geoemydidae. The record is from RefSeq and is a predicted model, not a curated record. The transcript has 3 exons.